This 2089-nucleotide ribosomal RNA is filed under the name hot springs metagenome. RNAcentral describes it as "bacterial LSU rRNA". It matches the Rfam family "Archaeal large subunit ribosomal RNA", at positions 35 to 2076 of the family's 2987-position model. The record is from RNAcentral.
UGGCUCGGGGGGCGAGGAAGGGCGUGGCAAGCUGCGAUAAGCCCCGGGGAGGCGCAUGCGGCCUUAGAUCCGGGGAUUCCCGAAUGGGACCUCCCGGUGGAACUCGAAUAGGGUUCCAUCGUUCCCGGGGUUAAUACCCGGGAGCGCGAACUCCCCGAACGGAAACAUCCAAGUAGGGGAAGGAGGAGAAAUCAAACGAGAUUCCCUGAGUACCGGCGAGGGAAAGGGGAAGAGUCCAAACCGAAUCCCGUGCGGUGACGUACGGGAGAUGUAGCGUGCGGUCGAUGGCUGCGCCUUGAGCGCAGCGCAACUUCAUCCCCUAGUUGAAGUGGCCUGGAAUGGCCCGCCGCAGAGGGUGAAAGCCCCGUAGGCGAAAGGGGAUGGAGUGCGCGUCAUCGGCCCGAGUACCUGGCCUUGGAUUUGGCUAGGGAAGUUGGGGGCCAACGGCCUCUAAGGCUAAAUACCUCCCGAGACCGAUAGCGAACUAAGUACCGUGAGGGAACGCUGAAAAGAACCCCGAGAGGGGGGUGAAAAGAGCCUGAAACCAGACGGCUACAUGGCGCGCCGCUCGAAAGGAUCGUGCCGGUCCGGGUUCCGCAAGGGAUCUGGGUCGCCGCGAUCCGGGGUGGCGCGUUCCGUUUCGAACAACGGGCCAGGGAGUUCACUUUCACGGCGAGUUUAAGGGCUGCAAGCCCGAAGGCGAAGGGAAACCAAAUUUCCGCAGCCUCCCCCUGGGAGGUGAGGGAAGGGGUCUGAAAGGGCCUUAUAGCCGUGGGGGUGAGACUAGAAACCGGACGAUCUAGCCCUGGGCAGGGCGAAGCCGGGGGAAACCCCGGUGGAGGCCCGUAGGGGUGCUGACGUGCAAUUCGCGUCCUCGGACCUGGGGCUAGGGGCCAAAAGCCAAUCUAGUCCGGUGAUAGCUAGUUCCCGCCGAAGCAGAUCGCAGUCUGGCCUGGGCUGAGGUGGCCGGUGCCGUAGAGCACCGAUAGGGGGGCAAGGGGCGUUAUGCCCCACUUCCCUUUCGAACUCCGAAGGUGUCGGCUCCUGAGAAGCCCAGAGGCGGGCUUGUGAGGGGUAAGCCCCACAGCCGAGAGGGGAACAACCCAGACUAAGGUUAAGGCCCCUAAGUGCCGGCUAAGUGUCAAACUGAAGGGCGUCUCUCCGCUAAGACAGCAGGGAGGUAGGCUCAGAAGCAGCCAUCCUUUAAAGAGUGCGUAACAGCUCACCUGCCGAGCGGGGGGGCCCCGAAAAUGGACGGGGCUAAGUCGGCCGCCGAGACCUUGGGCCACCCUCUGAUUGAGGGUGGGCGGUAGGCGGGCGCGGAGGUUGGGCGGAAGCGGGGCCGUGAGGUCCCGUGGACCGACCCCCGUUGCAGAUCCUGGUGGUAGUAACAGCCUAGCCGGGUUAAAACCCCGGCCGCCGGAAGGGCCAGGUUUUCCUGGCGACGCGCAGUCGGCCAGGAGUUAGCCGGUCCUAAGGAUACCCCGAAAGGGCGUGUUCGAAUGGGAAGCCGGUUAAUAUUCCGGCGCCGCGGUGUUUUCGCGCGCCCCUUGUGGGCGCACAUUCCACCCCGUUGCCUCCGGAUAGGGGGAGUGGGGCCGCCGCCCCAUUUAACCGUUCGAGCCUGAGGGAGUGUCGUAAUGACGGGAACUCAGGCGAGGCGGGAAUAGCCCACUUUGUGGGUUCCCCCGAAUCCGGGGGACAGUGAAAGCGGGAUGGAAGAGAGGACACCGCGACCGUACCGAGAACCGACACUGGUGCCCUGGCUGCAGAAGCUAAGGCGUGUCGGGGGCACGGGGGGCGAGGGAACUCGGCAAAUUGGCCCUGUAACUUCGGGAGAAGGGGUGCCUGCGUUCUUGGGCGAAAGCCCGGGAUCGCAGGUCGCAGUGGCAAGGGGGUCCCGACUGUUUAAUAAAAACACAGGUGGCUGCUAGCCCGAAAGGGUCAGUACAGCCGCUGAAUCCUGGCCAGUGGGGGCACCUGAAACCCGGGCUCAACCGGGCCAAGGGCCUCUAAACGCCGGGAGUAACUCUGACUCUCUUAAGGUAGCCAAAUGCCUUGUCGGGUAAGUUCCGACGCGCAUGAAUGG